CUAUACAUGCAAGUCGAACGAACUCUGGUAUUGAUUGGUGCUUGCAUCAUGAUUUACAUUUGAGUGAGUGGCGAACUGGUGAGUAACACGUGGGAAACCUGCCCAGAAGCGGGGGAUAACACCUGGAAACAGAUGCUAAUACCGCAUAACAACUUGGACCGCAUGGUCCGAGCUUGAAAGAUGGCUUCGGCUAUCACUUUUGGAUGGUCCCGCGGCGUAUUAGCUAGAUGGUGGGGUAACGGCUCACCAUGGCAAUGAUACGUAGCCGACCUGAGAGGGUAAUCGGCCACAUUGGGACUGAGACACGGCCCAAACUCCUACGGGAGGCAGCAGUAGGGAAUCUUCCACAAUGGACGAAAGUCUGAUGGAGCAACGCCGCGUGAGUGAAGAAGGGUUUCGGCUCGUAAAACUCUGUUGUUAAAGAAGAACAUAUCUGAGAGUAACUGUUCAGGUAUUGACGGUAUUUAACCAGAAAGCCACGGCUAACUACGUGCCAGCAGCCGCGGUAAUACGUAGGUGGCAAGCGUUGUCCGGAUUUAUUGGGCGUAAAGCGAGCGCAGGCGGUUUUUUAAGUCUGAUGUGAAAGCCUUCGGCUCAACCGAAGAAGUGCAUCGGAAACUGGGAAACUUGAGUGCAGAAGAGGACAGUGGAACUCCAUGUGUAGCGGUGAAAUGCGUAGAUAUAUGGAAGAACACCAGUGGCGAAGGCGGCUGUCUGGUCUGUAACUGACGCUGAGGCUCGAAAGUAUGGGUAGCAAACAGGAUUAGAUACCCUGGUAGUCCAUACCGUAAACGAUGAAUGCUAAGUGUUGGAGGGUUUCCGCCCUUCAGUGCUGCAGCUAACGCAUUAAGCAUUCCGCCUGGGGAGUACGGCCGCAAGGCUGAAACUCAAAGGAAUUGACGGGGGCCCGCACAAGCGGUGGAGCAUGUGGUUUAAUUCGAAGCUACGCGAAGAACCUUACCAGGUCUUGACAUACUAUGCAAAUCUAAGAGAUUAGACGUUCCCUUCGGGGACAUGGAUACAGGUGGUGCAUGGUUGUCGUCAGCUCGUGUCGUGAGAUGUUGGGUUAAGUCCCGCAACGAGCGCAACCCUUAUUAUCAGUUGCCAGCAUUAAGUUGGGCACUCUGGUGAGACUGCCGGUGACAAACCGGAGGAAGGUGGGGAUGACGUCAAAUCAUCAUGCCCCUUAUGACCUGGGCUACACACGUGCUACAAUGGAUGGUACAACGAGUUGCGAACUCGCGAGAGUAAGCUAAUCUCUUAAAGCCAUUCUCAGUUCGGAUUGUAGGCUGCAACUCGCCUACAUGAAGUCGGAAUCGCUAGUAAUCGCGGAUCAGCAUGCCGCGGUGAAUACGUUCCCGGGCCUUGUACACACCGCCCGUCACACCAUGAGAGUUUGUAACACCCAAAGUCGGUGGGGUAACCUUUUAGGAACCAGCCGCAU
RNAcentral lists this ribosomal RNA (1444 nucleotides) under Lactiplantibacillus plantarum. RNAcentral's name for it is "bacterial SSU rRNA". It matches the Rfam family "Bacterial small subunit ribosomal RNA". Lineage: Bacteria; Bacillati; Bacillota; Bacilli; Lactobacillales; Lactobacillaceae. The record is from RNAcentral.